Molecule: non-coding RNA, 21 nt
Filed under: Caenorhabditis elegans
Lineage: Eukaryota; Metazoa; Nematoda; Chromadorea; Rhabditida; Rhabditidae
Source: RNAcentral
UGGGCUAAACGACUGAGCUAU